UGGGUUGUGGCCUAGUGGAAAGGUGUUUGGCCGUUAACCAAAAGAUAACAAGAUCAAUACUUGUCAACUCAG
Molecule: transfer RNA, 72 nt
Filed under: Tarsaster alaskanus
Lineage: Eukaryota; Metazoa; Echinodermata; Asteroidea; Forcipulatida; Pedicellasteridae
Description: tRNA-Asn
Rfam family: tRNA
About the family: Transfer RNA (tRNA) molecules are approximately 80 nucleotides in length. Their secondary structure includes four short double-helical elements and three loops (D, anti-codon, and T loops).
Source: RNAcentral